Long non-coding RNA from Numida meleagris (helmeted guineafowl), 2531 nucleotides. RefSeq lists it as uncharacterized. Lineage: Eukaryota; Metazoa; Chordata; Aves; Galliformes; Numididae. The transcript has 3 exons. The record is from RefSeq and is a predicted model, not a curated record.
UAGUGGCAGAUAAUCUGGGACCAAAAUGAGUAUAAACUCACAGGUUCACAUUGUGUUCACUCUGUGCUGUUCACCACAGCAUCCAGUCUUGCUACUAAAGUAGAUUUGGAUGCUAUGAUGGGCAGGUUGGAAAGUAUUUCAUCUCAAUCUUUUCCCCAGAGAUGUUCUUUUCAUAAAUUAAUGGCUGAAAGGAGAAAUUAAUUCAUAGAUUAAUGGGUGAAAGGCUGAAAAUGCUUUGAGCAAACCAGACUCAGGCUUACUUGGCCUGUGAAAGAAUUGAGAACAGCUGGGGCACUGGGUCUUCUGCCUGCUCCUAUAAAUUCUUUCUGUGUGUUUACUGCUGAUGGUUCAGGCUUCAGGAGCUACCUUCAAAAUAAUUACUUUUGGGCAUUGUAUGGAAAGAAAAAGAAGGAAAAAAAAUAAAAGAGGAAGAGUUAGCGCUGCUCUACUGGUGAUAUUUCCUUGAAUGCAAAUGUCCCUUUCCUUCUUAACUGCCCUCUCUUCUUUUUGGCCCAGUUGGUGUUACGUCAACUCUCCCGUAUGCUGCUCAUCUCUACAGACAGAAACUUGUGUUUUACUAGCAGCUUCUGGUUGUUGCUGCCUGCAGGAUUUCUCUCUGAUCCACCCAAGGGUCUGGAGGGCAUCAUAGUUGCACAGUGGGGCUUUAUCACCUGUGAUCAGCCCUUACAGUCCUGGCAGUCAGGCUAUGCUGAUGGUGCUGCAUGGAUUUGCUCUUUAUGAAGCUGAACAUUGGUGACAAGGAUUGUAUGAUUCAAAUGACUUUUCCAAACUCAUGGGCAUUUUCAGAAAUUUCUCAGAACUGUAGAAUAGCAACAUUUUUCAAUACCCCUAUUAAAUUGCAAGGACAAAGUUUUCUUCUGACUCCUCGUUGGACAGAUAAUACCAGCGUUAAAUUUCUGUAUUUCCUCAGGUUGUAGAAAAUCCAGAGAAGUCCUAGUCAUUGAUAUAGUGGCUCCCUUAAGAUAUGCUGAAGCAUCAAGGCAGAAGACUAAUUCCAGGUCUCCAGAAGCAUUAGUUUCACCACAUCUGGUAUCUUCCUAUUGGUAGCAAUGAUCCUAUGCAAGAUAUCAGAAGUAUCACCAUUAGUGAAGGUUUAACUGUAGAGCUUUCAAGUCAACCUUCCUGCUGAAUUGAAAGGAAGAACUAAUUUGUCAAGGCACUAGUAGGCUUUAAUGGCUAUGAUCAGACUCAGCUGCUGCUGCUCUGCUCCUGUCCCAGGGACCCCCUCAUUUCAGCUGAGCAUAGGGCCAUCAGUUCAGCUCCAGUUGCAUUACAGCCAUAUCUGUGUCCAGCUGGGGUCCCCACUGAUCCAGAUAACAAGCUGAGGUCUAACUGCACAGCUUGACACAGCCCUACCUAGUAAUUGCUGAGCUGCAGCUGACAGUGGCUUUCCUCACCAAGCUAGAGCCUUACGCUGGGUUGCUGACUUGUGUUUCUGGCUUGAACUUGGUGUUGCCCCAUUGCUAUGGACUUGAAUGAUCACCUGGAGCCUUGGCUGUCUUUGGCUGUCAUCCACCACCUCACUUGGGAAGUUGUAGGAUGCGGCCCUUCCUGAUGAGACCCUUGCCCUGCAGCCUGCAUUAUUAUGCUGAGUUCCUGGCUCCCUGUCGCUUAGGGAGCACUUGGCCCUUGUUGUGCACAGAUGUAUUUAAUGUGGGAAUAAUACAGCUUCACCCCUUUUCCUCCAGUUCCACUAAGCAAUUGUUAUAGAGUUGUUUCUUGCUGCAGAUUAGGUUCUUGAACCUGUAUGUUGAGCAUAAGUCAGCGUAUUUGCCACAGGACAAAACCUUGUUGCUCCAGCUCCACAAAAAUGACAACUUCCUCCAGUACAAAGGCAGUCUAUGGAUCAUAACUUUUCUGAUCAUAACUUACCCCGUGGGUGUCCCACCUUUUGGCUUGCCUGGGCUGCACUGACUGAAGAGGAAUUGUCUUGGGCUGCACGUAAAAUAUAUAAUUAAUGUGUAUAAGUAACAAAACUUAUUAUAUAUAUUUAUUUAUUAAAAUGUAAAAACCAGCAACAAAAACAUGAAACAAGUGGGAUAUUUGACCUUCUUUUUGUGAAAUUAAAACAUCAGUGUCUGGUUCAAUGGAAGUGGUUGCGAUUCUUAGUGAGCUCUUGAGGUGUUCAUCAGAGGUUUUUGCUGAAAUAUUGCUCUUUCUGUACUUCAUCCUUGAGAACAGUUAUUUACAAAUGUACAUACUGCCAAAGAGUGAUGAUAUGAAUAAGGUGUGGUUGUGAAGUGAGGGAUAUUUCUCUCUGUUAAGAUUGGUCUUAUAAAAGUUUAGAGAGACACGAUCGAGAUUUUCUUUGUGUUGAACGUCUGAUUGCAACUCAUAUAUUCCAUUUGAAAAUUUGCAGGUAAUGUAUAUACGUUGAUUGACAAUGGAGUUGCAAAUAUACAAAAAAAAAGUUGAUUUCUUUGGGAAAUUUGGAAACCUACUCUCAAAUUCUUUUAUCAGAAUUAAAAGCAAGGCUGUGUAUUUUCUGCAGUUCACAGGACUGUAUUUAG